Sphenodon punctatus (tuatara) is the source of this 126-nucleotide ribosomal RNA. NCBI's taxonomy places the organism in Eukaryota, Metazoa, Chordata, Lepidosauria, Sphenodontia, Sphenodontidae. The record is from Ensembl.
UGCUGUUGCCAAAUUGCCAUCCUGCCUCUAUAGAGUUAUCCUCCGAAAUCACACAAGCUAAGCAGGGUCAGGCUGGCUUGAUUCCCCGAUGGGUGACUGCCAAGGAGCUCCUAUUUGCAGCAGGAA